UGCGAGGCUAGCUGCCAGCUGGACCUACGGGAGCGGGUGACAAAGCCCCAUACGCUCGAGGACCAGACAUGGUGCCGCCACUGCCUUUUGGGCCCGUCCCCGUUACCAGGGACGGAAGCCCAACACACAAGCCGUGCUUGAGGGCAGCAAUGACGCUCGGACAGGCAUGCCCCCCGGAAUACCAGGGGGCGCAAUGUGCGUUCAAAGACUCGAUGAUUCACUGAAUUCUGCAAUUCACAUUAAUUAUCGCAUUUCGCUGCGUUCUUCAUCGAUGCCGGAACCAAGAGAUCCGUUGUUGAAAGUUUUAAUUAUUGUUUAACUAAAAACUCAGACUGCAAACUUCAGACAGUGUUCAAAUGUUAGUCUUCGGCGGGCCGUGGCCACUCCGAAGCAACAGGGUACAGAUAUACACGGAUGGGAGGUGGGACCUCUAGGGCCCGCUCCACGCUAAGUGUCUAUCCAGAGGUCUACCCACAAAAAAGCCUAUCUAUAACCUUAAUAUAAUCGAACCCUAAAAAUUAUUCGAACUCUCAUCUCUGCUUUCAUUAACCUCCUUAUAUACUCUUAGUUUAUCUCUCCGACUUACCUUCUUAUAAAUUAUCUUAUAUUAAAGAUAAUACGCCAUUCGUUAUAUAAUAUAUUUUUUCAGUUCCUCCUCGUCUUUAUAAAUACUUUCUACUCUACUCGUGGCUCUGCUUGAAAGAAAGUCGCAGUCUGAUUAUAAGCUUAAUAGAUUUUGCACAUACAGGUAUAUUGCAUAUAAUUACUAAUUUGUAUACUAAUUUGACUUCUUCUCAUAAAACCAUCCUAUACCCUAUCUUUAUAACCUAGUCCAUAUUUAAUUUACUAUUGCGAGGCUAGCUGCCAGCUGGACCUACGGGAGCGGGUGACAAAGCCCCAUACGCUCGAGGACCAGACAUGGUGCCGCCACUGCCUUUUGGGCCCGUCCCCGUUACCAGGGACGGAAGCCCAACACACAAGCCGUGCUUGAGGGCAGCAAUGACGCUCGGACAGGCAUGCCCCCCGGAAUACCAGGGGGCGCAAUGUGCGUUCAAAGACUCGAUGAUUCACUGAAUUCUGCAAUUCACAUUAAUUAUCGCAUUUCGCUGCGUUCUUCAUCGAUGCCGGAACCAAGAGAUCCGUUGUUGAAAGUUUUAAUUAUUGUUUAACUAAAAACUCAGACUGCAAACUUCAGACAGUGUUCAAAUGUUAGUCUUCGGCGGGCCGUGGCCACUCCGAAGCAACAGGGUACAGAUAUACACGGAUGGGAGGUGGGACCUCUAGGGCCCGCUCCACGCUAAGUGUCUAUCCAGAGGUCUACCCACAAAAAAGCCUAUCUAUAACCUUAAUAUAAUCGAACCCUAAAAAUUAUUCGAACUCUCAUCUCUGCUUUCAUUAACCUCCUUAUAUACUCUUAGUUUAUCUCUCCGACUUACCUUCUUAUAAAUUAUCUUAUAUUAAAGAUAAUACGCCAUUCGUUAUAUAAUAUAUUUUUUCAGUUCCUCCUCGUCUUUAUAAAUACUUUCUACUCUACUCGUGGCUCUGCUUGAAAGAAAGUCGCAGUCUGAUUAUAAGCUUAAUAGAUUUUGCACAUACAGGUAUAUUGCAUAUAAUUACUAAUUUGUAUACUAAUUUGACUUCUUCUCAUAAAACCAUCCUAUACCCUAUCUUUAUAACCUAGUCCAUAUUUAAUUUACUAU
RNAcentral lists this unclassified non-coding RNA (1700 nucleotides) under Aspergillus pseudoglaucus. Its description in RNAcentral is "sequence contains ITS1, 5.8S rRNA gene and ITS2". The record is from RNAcentral. Lineage: Eukaryota; Fungi; Ascomycota; Eurotiomycetes; Eurotiales; Aspergillaceae.